AUGAUUAGAGCCUUCCAAGAUAAUGCAAUUGAUGCAGAGAUUGUUGGUGGGAAACAUGUUGGGAAGAGGGUCUUUAUACCGAGGAUCCCUUUGUCACCAUCGGAGGACAUCUCGCUUUCCUUCAAGCUUAAGAGGAAACAAUUCCCCAUCCGCCUAAGUUUUGUGAUGACCAUUAACAAGGCGCAGGGCCAGACCAUCCCAAAUGUUGGCAUUUAUCUUCCCGAGCCGGUGUUCUCCCAUGGUCAGCUGUAUGUUGCCUUGUCAAGGGGUGUAUCAAGGCGGACGACGCGAAUUUUGGCCGAGCCGAACAAACAGAUUGAUAAAUCAGGAAAAAGCACAAAAUAUUGUCUAUAG
This 354-nucleotide ribosomal RNA is filed under the name Triticum aestivum (bread wheat). RNAcentral describes it as "partial small subunit ribosomal RNA". The record is from RNAcentral. Lineage: Eukaryota; Viridiplantae; Streptophyta; Magnoliopsida; Poales; Poaceae.